This 731-nucleotide ribosomal RNA is filed under the name uncultured bacterium. Its description in RNAcentral is "bacterial SSU rRNA". It matches the Rfam family "Bacterial small subunit ribosomal RNA", at positions 96 to 863 of the family's 1533-position model. The record is from RNAcentral.
UGGCGAACGGGUGAGUAACACGUGGGUGAUCUGCCUGACUUUGGGAUAAGCCUGGGAAACUGGGUCUAAUACCGGAUAUGACCAUGGGAUGCAUUCUGUGGUGGAAAGCUUUUGCGGUUGGGGAUGGGCCCGCGGCCUAUCAGCUUGUUGGGGGUAAUGGCCUACCAAGGCGACGACGGGUAGCCGACCUGAGAGGGUGAUCGGCCACAGGGACUGAGACACGGCCCAGACUCCUACGGGAGGCAGCAGUGGGGAAUAUUGCACAAUGCGCAAGCCUGAUGCAGCGACGCCGCGUGAGGGAUGACGGCCUUCGGGUUGUAAACCUUUCAGUAGGGACGAAGCUUCGGUGACGGUACCUGCAGAAGAAGCACCGGCCAACUACGCCAGCAGCCGCGGUAAUACGUAGGGUGCGAGCGUUGUCCGGAAUUACUGGGCGUAAAGCUCGUAGGCGGUUUGUCGCGUCGUCUGUGAAAUUCUGCAACUCAAUUGCAGGCGUGCACGAUACGGGCAGACUUGAGUACUACAGGGGAGACUGGAAUUCCUGGUGUAGCGGUGAAGCGCAGAUAUCAGGAGGAACACCGGUGGCGAAGGCGGGUCUCUGGGUAGUAACUGACGGAGGAGCGAAAGCGUGGGUAGCGAACAGGAUUAGAUACCCUGGUAGUCCACGCCGUAAGGUGGGUACUAGGUGUGGGUUCCAUUUCACGGGAUCCGUGCCGUAGCUAACGCAUUAA